This 433-nucleotide ribosomal RNA is filed under the name uncultured bacterium. RNAcentral's name for it is "partial 16S ribosomal RNA". It matches the Rfam family "Bacterial small subunit ribosomal RNA", at positions 29 to 507 of the family's 1533-position model. The record is from RNAcentral.
AACGAACGCUGGCGGCAUGCCUAACACAUGCAAGUCGAACGAGACCUUCGGGUCUAGUGGCCCACGGGUUCGUCACGCGUGGGAACCUUCCCUUAGGUUCGGCAUAACUCCCCGAAAGGGGUGCUAAUACCGUAUCAUGUCUUCUGCCCAAUGAUUUAUCGCCUUUGGAUGGGCCCGCGUUGGAUUAGCUAUUUGUUAGGGUAAAAGCCUACCACGGCGACGAUCCAUAGCUGGUCUGAGAGGAUGAUCAGCCACACUGGGACUGAGACACGGCCCAGACUCAUACGGGAGGCAGCAGUGGGGAAUAUUGGAACAUGGGCGAAAGCAUGAUCAUGCAAGGACGCGUGAGUGAUGAAGGCCUUAGGGUUGUAAAGCUCUUUUAACCGGGAUGAUAAUGACAGUACCGGGAGAAUAAGCUCCGGCUAACUCCGUG